AUUGAACGCUGGCGGCAUGCCUUACACAUGCAAGUCGAACGGCAGCAUGAUCUAGCUUGCUAGAUUGAUGGCGAGUGGCGAACGGGUGAGUAAUACAUCGGAACGUGCCCUGUAGUGGGGGAUAACUAGUCGAAAGAUUAGCUAAUACCGCAUACGACCUGAGGGUGAAAGUGGGGGACCGCAAGGCCUCAUGCUAUAGGAGCGGCCGAUGUCUGAUUAGCUAGUUGGUGAGGUAAAGGCUCACCAAGGCGACGAUCAGUAGCUGGUCUGAGAGGACGAUCAGCCACACUGGGACUGAGACACGGCCCAGACUCCUACGGGAGGCAGCAGUGGGGAAUUUUGGACAAUGGGCGAAAGCCUGAUCCAGCAAUGCCGCGUGUGUGAAGCAGGCCUUCGGGUUGUAAAGCACUUUUGUCCGGAAAGAAAUGGCUCUGGUUAAUACCUGGGGUCGAUGACGGUACCGGAAGAAUAAGGACCGGCUAACUACGUG
RNAcentral lists this ribosomal RNA (490 nucleotides) under uncultured bacterium. RNAcentral describes it as "partial 16S ribosomal RNA". It matches the Rfam family "Bacterial small subunit ribosomal RNA", at positions 30 to 507 of the family's 1533-position model. The record is from RNAcentral.